UCGCCGACGCCGGUUCCAAUGGUUCGGCGUCAGAACCGGCGUCAGCGAAAAAUCGGCGUCGCGAUUUUGACGCCGUUACUGGAGAUGCUCUUAUUAGUUUGGCUCGCCAUUGUUUUGGCUCGAGCAGUUUAGCUUAUAAAAUAAAAAAAUAAAAAUUCUAGGUUCGAUGUGUGGGUUUUUUUCAUUUGUGGAGAUUGAUGAGCACGUGCAAAGGGAGAUCAUGAACCACAGAUACUUAAAAUGAGGUUCGUUUCUAACUCUUCUAUUUCUUCGAAUUUUUACAAUAUCAUCUUACACAUAUAUUUUUACUUUGGCGUUGGGGGAUGUUUUGUAUUUUUAUUUUGUAGCAGAUUUUUAAUAGUUAUUUUGCUAAACGUUAGCUAACUAUCCUCGAUAGUUUAACAUUUUGCUUCUUUAUAAAAAAAAUCUUACACAUAUAUGAAUGUUUUAGGCACGCUUCUUUUUGUCAACAGCUCAUAUCCGGAGUUAGUUACUGUCAUUCCAUGCAAAUUUGCUGAACACAUUGUUGGAUGAUAGCCCAUCUCCGCACCUCAAAAUAUGCGAUUUCGGAUAUUCUAAGUCGUCGGUUUUCCAUUCUCAACCCAAAUCGACUGUUGGGACACCCGCCUACAUCGCUCCCGAGGUCCUCUCGAGAAAAGAGUACGAUGGCAAUGUACCAAUAAAACUACGUCGUUUAAUUAUUUGUUAUGCUCCAAAUGUCCCCACACUAGUUCAUUUAUUUCUAAUAUCUAGUGAACUGAUAAUGGAAUACUAUUUUUUUGGCCCCUUAAGGUUGCAGAUGUUUGGUCAUGUGGGGUUACACUCUAUGUAAUGCUAGUUGGUGCUUAUCCAUUUGAGGAUUCCAAUGAUCCAAGAAAUUUUAAGAAAACAAUCAAUGAGAGAUUAU
Molecule: long non-coding RNA, 907 nt
Organism: Salvia splendens (bonfire salvia)
Lineage: Eukaryota; Viridiplantae; Streptophyta; Magnoliopsida; Lamiales; Lamiaceae
Exons: 3
Source: RefSeq, a predicted model, not a curated record